Molecule: ribosomal RNA, 1915 nt
Filed under: Francisella tularensis
Lineage: Bacteria; Pseudomonadati; Pseudomonadota; Gammaproteobacteria; Thiotrichales; Francisellaceae
Description: partial 23S ribosomal RNA
Rfam family: Bacterial large subunit ribosomal RNA
Source: RNAcentral
UUUAAUAGGGCGACUAGUCGCUAGGAGUAGACCCGAAACCGGCGCGAUCUAUCCAUGGCCAGGUUGAAGAUUAGGUAGUACUAAUUGGAGGACCGAACCCAAUACUGUUGCAAAAGUAUGGGAUGAGCUGUGGAUCGGAGUGAAAGGCUAAUCAAGCACGGAGAUAGCUGGUUCUCCCCGAAAACUAUUUAGGUAGUGCCUCGUGUAUAACUCAUUGGGGUAAAGCACUGUUUCGACAAUGGGGGUUUUACGACCUUACUGACUCGAUGCAAACUCAGAAUACGAUGAAGUUCGAUCACGGGAGACACACUGCGGGUGCUAAGGUCCGCAGUGGAAAGGGAAACAGCCCAGACCGCCAACUAAGGUCCCAAAGUCAUAGCUAAGUGGGAAACGAAGUGGGAAGGCCCAGACAGCCAGGAGGUUGGCUUAGAAGCAGCCACCCUUUAAAGAAAGCGUAAUAGCUCACUGGUCGAGUCGGCCUGCACGUAAGAUUUAACGGGGCUAAGCUAUGCACUGAAGUUGCGGAAUAUAUUUAGUAUAUUGGUAGGGGAGCGUUCUGUAAGCCGAUGAAGGUGAAUUGAGAAGUUUGCUGGAGGUAUCAGAAGUGCGAAUGCUGACAUGAGUAACGUAAAAUAAGUGAGAUUCUUAUUGGCCGAAAACCCAAGGGUUCCUACGCAAUGUUAAUCAACGUAGGGUAAGCCGGCCCCUAAGGCGUAGCUGAAGAGUGAAGUCGAUGGGAAACAGGUUAAUAUUCCUGUGCUGCUUAUAUGAACGAAGGAGGGACGGAGAAGGUUAGGUAGGCCUGGCGAAUGGUUGUCCAGGUGAAAGUAUGUAGGUAGGAAUGCUAGGCAAAUCCGGUGUUCUGUUGAUCUGAGAUACGAGACGAAGUUAAACUUGUUUGACGAAGCUAUUGAUACCAUGCUUCCAGGAAAAGCUUCUAAGUAUAUUGUAUAAGUGACCGUACUGUAAACCGACACUGGUGGGUAGGUAGAGAAUACUAAGGCUAUGAGAUAACUCUGGUGAAGGAACUAGGCAAAAUGACACCGUAACUUUGGAAGAAGGUGUGCCCUUGAUGGUGAUGAGACUUGCUCUUUGAGCUGUUGGGGGUUGCAGAUACCAGGUGGCUGCGACUGUUUAUCAAAAACACAGCACUCUGCGAAAUCGUAAGAUGAAGUAUAGGGUGUGACGCCUGCCCGGUGCUGGAAGGUUAAUUGAAGGGGUUAGCGCAAGCGAAGCUCUGGAUCGAAGCCCCAGUAAACGGCGGCCGUAACUAUAACGGUCCUAAGGUAGCGAAAUUCCUUGUCGGGUAAGUUCCGACCUGCACGAAUGGCGUAACGAUGGCCACACUGUCUCCACCAGAGACUCAGUGAAAUUGAAAUCGCUGUGAAGAUGCAGUGUACCCGCGGUUAGACGGAAAGACCCCGUGAACCUUUACUAUAGCUUUGCACUGGACUUUGAAUAUUUAUGUGUAGGAUAGGUGGGAGACCAUGAAGCAGCUACGCCAGUAGUUGUGGAGUCGUCCUUGAAAUACCACCCUUGAAUAUUUGAAGUUCUAACUCAGGAGAGAUUCGAGGACAGUGUAUGGUGGGUAGUUUGACUGGGGCGGUCUCCUCCUAAAGAGUAACGGAGGAGUACGAAGGUGCACUCGGUACGGUCGGAAAUCGUGCCAAGAGUAUAAAGGCAAAAGUGCGCUUGACUGCGAGAGUGACGGCUCGAGCAGGUACGAAAGUAGGUCUUAGUGAUCCGGUGGUCCCGAAUGGAAGGGUCAUCGCUCAACGGAUAAAAGGUACUCCGGGGAUAACAGGCUAAUUCCUCCCAAGAGUUCAUAUCGACGGAGGAGUUUGGCACCUCGAUGUCGGCUCAUCACAUCCUGGGGCUGAAGUAGGUCCCAAGGGUAUGGCUGUUCGCCAUUUAA